AGUGAACGCUGGCGGUAGGCCUAACACAUGCAAGUCGAACGGCAGCACAGUAAGAGCUUGCUCUUACGGGUGGCGAGUGGCGGACGGGUGAGGAAUACAUCGGAAUCUACUUUUUCGUGGGGGAGAACGUAGGGAAACUUACGCUAAUACCGCAUACGACCUACGGGUGAAAGCAUGGGAUCUUCGGACCUUGCGCGAUUGAAGGAGCCGAUGUCGGAUUAGCUAGUUGGCGGGGUAAAGGCCCACCAAGGCGACGAUCCGUAGCUGGUCUGAGAGGAUGAUCAGCCACACUGGAACUGAGACACGGUCCAGACUCCUACGGGAGGCAGCAGUGGGGAAUAUUGGACAAUGGGCGCAAGCCUGAUCCAGCCAUACCGCGUGGGUGAAGAAGGCCUUCGGGUUGUAAAGCCCUUUUGUUGGGAAAGAAAAGCAGCAGGUUAAUACCCCGCUGUUCUGACGGUACCCAAAGAAUAAGCACCGGCUAACUUCGUG
This 492-nucleotide ribosomal RNA is filed under the name uncultured bacterium. RNAcentral's name for it is "partial 16S ribosomal RNA". It matches the Rfam family "Bacterial small subunit ribosomal RNA", at positions 29 to 507 of the family's 1533-position model. The record is from RNAcentral.